This 529-nucleotide ribosomal RNA is filed under the name uncultured bacterium. RNAcentral's name for it is "bacterial SSU rRNA". It matches the Rfam family "Bacterial small subunit ribosomal RNA", at positions 355 to 874 of the family's 1533-position model. The record is from RNAcentral.
UGGGGAAUAUUGGACAAUGGGCGCAAGCCUGAUCCAGCAACGCCGCGUGGAGGAUGAAGGUCUUCGGAUCGUAAACUCCUGUCAGACGGGACGAAGGUGCGGGGGUAAAUAAUCUCCGUGCUUGACGGUACUGUCAGAGGAAGCCCCGGCUAACUCCGUGCCAGCAGCCGCGGUAAUACGGAGGGGCGAGCGUUAUUCGGAAUUAUUGGGCGUAAAGGGCGCGUAGGGCGGGCUGUACAAGUCAAAGGUGAAAUCCCUCGGCUCAACUGAGGAACUGCCUUUGAAACUGUACGGCUUGAGGCCGGGAGGGGGUAGCGGAAUUCCCAGUGUAGCGGUGAAAUGCGUAGAUACUGGGAGGAACACCAGUGGCGAAGGCGGCUACCUGGACCGGUUCUGACGCUGAUGCGCGAAAGCGUGGGUAGCAAACAGGAUUAGAUACCCUGGUAGUCCACGCUGUAAACGAUGGGUGCUCGGUGUCGCGGGUAUCGACCCCUGCGGUGCCUUAGCUAACGCGUUAAGCACCCCGCCU